Molecule: ribosomal RNA, 379 nt
Filed under: uncultured bacterium
Lineage: Bacteria
Description: bacterial SSU rRNA
Rfam family: Bacterial small subunit ribosomal RNA
Source: RNAcentral
AUUGAACGCUGGCGGCAUGCCUUACACAUGCAAGUCGAACGGCAGCACGGGAGCAAUCCUGGUGGCGAGUGGCGAACGGGUGAGUAAUAUAUCGGAACGUGCCCAGUCGUGGGGGAUAACGUAGCGAAAGCUACGCUAAUACCGCAUACGAUCUAUGGAUGAAAGCGGGGGAUCGCAAGACCUCGCGCGAUUGGAGCGGCCGAUAUCAGAUUAGGUAGUUGGUGAGGUAAAGGCUCACCAAGCCGACGAUCUGUAGCUGGUCUGAGAGGACGACCAGCCACACUGGGACUGAGACACGGCCCAGACUCCUACGGGAGGCAGCAGUGGGGGAAUUUUUGGGACAAUAGGGCGCAAGCCUGAUCCAGCAAUGCCGCGUGCA